CACUCCCCGCACCCCGAGAGCCCUGCGCUGGUGGAGGGUCCUCGAGGGACAGCAGGGGACAGCGACGGGGUGGCAGGGGGGCUGCCCUGGCCCCUCUGGCACAAACAGCGCCAAGUGGAGGAGGAUUUCGGGGACCUGCUGGAGCAGUACAAGCACUUCAAGUCCUUGCCAGAGUC
This is a non-coding RNA of Lonchura striata (white-rumped munia), 176 nucleotides long. The record is from RefSeq and is a predicted model, not a curated record. Lineage: Eukaryota; Metazoa; Chordata; Aves; Passeriformes; Estrildidae.